ACUCCAUGAAGCUGGAUUCGCUAGUAAUCGCGCAUCAGCCAUGGCGCGGUGAAUACGUUCCCGGGCCUUGUACACACCGCCCGUCAAGCCAUGGGAGUCGGGAGUGCCUGAAGUUCGUGACCGUCACAGGAGCGACCUAAGGCAAGACCGAUGACUGGGGCUAAGUCGUAACAAGGUACC
This 180-nucleotide ribosomal RNA is filed under the name uncultured bacterium. RNAcentral's name for it is "partial 16S ribosomal RNA". It matches the Rfam family "Bacterial small subunit ribosomal RNA", at positions 1315 to 1500 of the family's 1533-position model. The record is from RNAcentral.